UACGUAGGGGGCUAGCGUUGUCCGGAAUCAUUGGGCGUAAAGCGCGUGUAGGCGGCCCGGUAAGUCCGCUGUGAAAGUCCAGGGCUCAACCCUGGAAUGCCGGUGGAUACUGUCGGGCUCGAGUCCGGAAGAGGCGAGUGGAAUUCCUGGUGUAGCGGUGAAAUGCGCAGAUAUCAGGAGGAACACCGAUGGCGAAGGCAGCUCGCUGGGACGGUACUGACGCUGAGG
RNAcentral lists this ribosomal RNA (228 nucleotides) under uncultured bacterium. RNAcentral describes it as "partial 16S ribosomal RNA". It matches the Rfam family "Bacterial small subunit ribosomal RNA", at positions 524 to 751 of the family's 1533-position model. The record is from RNAcentral.